Molecule: long non-coding RNA, 2183 nt
Organism: Juglans regia (Persian walnut)
Lineage: Eukaryota; Viridiplantae; Streptophyta; Magnoliopsida; Fagales; Juglandaceae
Exons: 6
Source: RefSeq, a predicted model, not a curated record
ACGGAGAAAUGGCGAAGCAGUAGUGAUUCUGGCCACAGCAACAGAGCACCAGUUCAGGCCACAAACAACGAAGCGACAGCCUGUAACCUUCAUCUUCUCCUCCCUAUUCUAUCUACUAGUUCUCUCGAAUUAGAAUACUACCAACGGUUAACCAUAUUGCUAAAAGUGUCAAAAAGGGUGCAUGAAAGAUGACAACAUCCAUUUAUUUGUAAGAAGGCCUGUGAGGAGAUCUCCGUUUAUUAACCGUGGUUUUGCAUGUAUUAAGGUUACUUUGCCCGUUGGGCUGCUCUCCGGAAGCUUCUCUAUCAGUUUCUUGAUUGUGAAAGAAAUACGGAUGGAAAAGCUCGCACAAUGAAACAGAUAUUGUCACUUGGAGCUGGCUUUGAUACGACAUUUUUUUCAGUUGCAGGUAACCAGUAAAAGGGUGAAACUUAUUGAAAGUUAUAGUCAGUUGAGAGACAAAGUUAGUGGAGCAGCAUCACUCUCAAGAGGAAAAUGGCACAUUAACAUCUGUGCUUAACAUAUUGCCAUAUAGAUCGUUUUCCUUUCAAGAAGAGAAAAAGAAGAGGUGGGGUGGGGAGGCAAAUGUGUCAAUUAAGUAGAAAGGAGAAGGGCUUAGUCUACAAGCUACUCCCCAUUGAUCUGCAUGAUAUACAAAAAUUAGUUGAUAUCAUAGCUGUGGCUUAUAUGGAUCCCAGGUAUGAUGUAGAUAAGCUGAUUUCAUCAAGCCCCAUAGUGUGGAGGAACCCUCAAAGACAGAAUAGAGAAUAUAACAUAAACCUCCAUGGCACGAUGGUUCUCACCAUUGGUAAAUAAUGAUGGAGCUUUGAUCAUUACAUGAGCAAAACAGAAGAAGAUAAUAGAAAAAUGCUAGUAGACAUGAACUGCCCAAUUUUUCAGAAGCAUAUAAAACACAGUAAAAAUUUAGUAAGAAUGCGUUUUAAUAAACCUAGAUCCAGAUUCAACCCAGGCUAUAGUUGUCUGGACUGCAAAAACAUUUUCUACUCAUUUCUUUUCUUUGACUUUAGGUUGCCAAUUUUUUCUUGGCACUCCUGGCUUCUUCUGAUUGCCAUCCAUGAUCAUAGUAUUAUAUGGUUGCUUAAAAUAUUAUGAAAAAUAUGUUCACAUACAGUUUCUCAUUUUUUUCCCCCAACAUCUCAUACAGACUUCAUAUGUAAACAUCCAAGUAUUAUAUUUUCCAUCUUUGCACCUCAGUAUUUGUCCUGUUACUUGUUUUGUAACUGGUUUUCGACAUGAUAGAGUUUUGCAAGUGAGAGUUUUACAGAAAUUUCACUUCUGCGGAUCUUCCUUUGUUGUUGCAAUCCAACUUAUCCUACUUCAACUAACCAACCUGAUGUUAAUUCUUUGUCAUGUGUCUCUUAACAAUGAAAUUUGUGCAUGCCAAUGUUCCAGUUUUGUGCCAAUAUUCGAAGAUCAUCAACACAUGCAAGAGUCUUGUAUUAUAUGUUUUUUUCACAUGUAACAACCUCAUAUUAUAUGUUUUAUCUUUUUCUCUCUGAAAGGUAGGGCUGAAAGAAGUAUCUAUGCUUCCUGCCCUUAGGAACUUUUUGAAAAGGAGAAUCUCUGCCUCAUGCUGUUAGGAACUUUUUUUUCCCUGAUUUUACCUGUACCCUGAUUCCUUUGAUCUUAAAAUUUUUUAUUGUUGUACCAAUAUCCUAUGGUUUUGAGAUAAUUGAAUCACAUCUUCUUUGUGAGGUUCUAAAGUUUUUUGUUUCUAGUAGGAUGUAAAGGUUUCCCUCUUUCUUUCUCUGUAUUCUUUUUUCUACACUUUCUAAAACUUCCUUGAAAGAGGCUCAUCUGAGACGUUUGUUGAUUUGGAUUGAACGGCUGGAUUUGUAAGAUGAAUUUGAGGAGUGGCAUAUGAUCAGGCAAGUCAACCUAAUUUUCUUUGUCUUUAGCAACAGAAUGAAGUGGGUAGGCCUGGGCCAAAUAGAAUUGGUCCUCCCUCUCUCCUGUGGUCCAGAUGUAUAGGCUUGGUAAUUGGUAGUACUAGUACCCAACAGUUCAGUUGUUGUGGAGCGCUAGCUCACUGCUGUGGGGAGGUUUGCACAAUGCUUUAAUACAGUUGGCUGAGAGACCCAUGCUGCCUACAAACGAGGCCUUAGUUUUGUUAUUUUCUGUUAUUAAUUUUUGUUUCAAUUUCUGAUUCUCAGGAGCACUAC